Molecule: ribosomal RNA, 490 nt
Filed under: uncultured bacterium
Lineage: Bacteria
Description: partial 16S ribosomal RNA
Rfam family: Bacterial small subunit ribosomal RNA
Source: RNAcentral
AGUGAACGCUGGCGGUAGGCCUAACACAUGCAAGUCGAACGGCAGCACAGUAAGAGCUUGCUCUUACGGGUGGCGAGUGGCGGACGGGUGAGGAAUACAUCGGAAUCUACUUUUUCGUGGGGGAUAACGUAGGGAAACUUACGCUAAUACCGCAUACGACCUACGGGUGAAAGCAGGGGAUCUUCGGACCUUGCGCGAUUGAAUGAGCCGAUGUCGGAUUAGCUAGUUGGCGGGGUAAAGGCCCACCAAGGCGACGAUCCGUAGCUGGUCUGAGAGGAUGAUCAGCCACACUGGAACUGAGACACGGUCCAGACUCCUACGGGAGGCAGCAGUGGGGAAUAUUGGACAAGGGGCGCAAGCCUGAUCCAGCCAUACCGCGUGGGUGAAGAAGGCCUUCGGGUUGUAGCCCUUUUGUUGGGAAAGAAAAGCAGCAGGUUAAUACCCCGCUGUUCUGACGGUACCCAAAGAAUAAGCACCGGCUAACUUCGUG